This 600-nucleotide ribosomal RNA is filed under the name uncultured bacterium. RNAcentral describes it as "bacterial SSU rRNA". The stretch from base 1 to 442 matches the Rfam family "Bacterial small subunit ribosomal RNA", at positions 100 to 541 of the family's 1533-position model. The record is from RNAcentral.
GGACGGGUGAGUAAUAUAAGGGGAUCUGCCUGAUGGAGGGGGAUAACUACUGGAAACGGUAGCUAAUACCGCAUAAUGUCUUCGGACCAAAGCGGGGGACCUUCGGGCCUCGCGCCAUCAGAUGAACCCAUAUGGGAUUAGCUUGUAGGUGAGGUAACGGUCACCUAGGCGACGAUCCCUAGCUGGUCUGAGAGGAUGAUCAGCAACUGGGACUGAGACACGGCCAGACUCCUACGGGAGGCAGCAGUGGGGAAUAUUGCACAACUGGGCGCAAGCCUGAUGCAGCCAUGCCGCGUGUAUGAAGAAGGCCUUCGGGUUGUAAAGUACUUUCAGUCGGGAGGAAGGUGGUAAGGUUAAUAACCUUAUCAAUUGACCGUUACCGAAGAAGAAGCACCGGUAACUCCGUGCCAGCAGCCGGGUAAUACCGGACGGGUGCAAGCGUAAAUCCGGACUNUCACUGGGGCGUAAAGCGGCCAAGCCCAGCACGGGAAGAACGAAGUCCAAAACGNGAAAAUCACCCGGGAUUACAACACCCCAGGGGAAUACGCUACCGACAUACCCAUACCGGGGGGGCACAAACGCNCUCUAACACAAAAACGC